GACGAACGCUGGCGGCGUGCUUAACACAUGCAAGUCGAACGAAGUGGCGAACGGGUGAGUAACGCGUAAUCAACCUGCCCUUCAGAGGGGGACAACAGUUGGAAACGACUGCUAAUACCGCAUACUUAAGGAGGGGUUUGCGUCUGGUUAGCUAGUUGGAGGGGUAACGGCCCACCAGGGCGAUGAUCAGUAGCCGGUAUGAGAGGCAGAGCGGCCACCGUGGGACUGUGUAACGGCCCAGAUUCCUACGGGGGGCAGCAGGAGGGAAUCGUCCGCAAUGGACGAAGAUCUGACGGAGAAACGCCGCGUGAGUAAUGACGGCCUUCGGGUUGUAAAGCUAUGUUUAUCGGGACGCGGUACCGGAAUAGAAAGCCACGGCUAACUACGUGCCAGCAGCCGCGGUAAUAC
RNAcentral lists this ribosomal RNA (408 nucleotides) under uncultured bacterium. RNAcentral describes it as "partial 16S ribosomal RNA". It matches the Rfam family "Bacterial small subunit ribosomal RNA", at positions 28 to 526 of the family's 1533-position model. The record is from RNAcentral.